RNAcentral lists this ribosomal RNA (497 nucleotides) under uncultured bacterium. RNAcentral describes it as "partial 16S ribosomal RNA". It matches the Rfam family "Bacterial small subunit ribosomal RNA", at positions 28 to 507 of the family's 1533-position model. The record is from RNAcentral.
GAUGAACGCUGGCGGCGUGCCUAAUACAUGCAAGUCGAGCGAACAGACGAGGAGCUUGCUCCUCUGACGUUAGCGGCGGACGGGUGAGUAACACGUGGAUAACCUACCUAUAAGACUGGGAUAACUUCGGGAAACCGGAGCUAAUACCGGAUAACAUGUUGAACCGCAUGGUUCAACAGUGAAAGACGGUUUUGCUGUCACUUAUAGAUGGAUCCGCGUCGCAUUAGCUAGUUGGUAAGGUAACGGCUUACCAAGGCAACGAUGCGUAGCCGCCCUGAGAGGGUGAUCGGCCACACUGGAACUGAGACACGGUCCAGACUCCUACGGGAGGCAGCAGUAGGGAAUCUUCCGCAAUGGGCGAAAGCCUGACGGAGCAACGCCGCGUGAGUGAAGAAGGUCUUCGGAUCGUAAAACUCUGUUAUUAGGGAAGAACAAAUGUGUAAGUAACUAUGCACGUCUUGACGGUACCUAAUCAGAAAGCCACGGCUAACUACGUG